RNA transcript from Panicum virgatum (switchgrass), 1447 nucleotides. RefSeq lists it as uncharacterized. NCBI's taxonomy places the organism in Eukaryota, Viridiplantae, Streptophyta, Magnoliopsida, Poales, Poaceae. The transcript is spliced from 8 exons. The record is from RefSeq and is a predicted model, not a curated record.
CAUAGCGGCAACGGAGCCGUCCCUCCCGACGGGCGACGGCGACCCCUCCCGACGGCGGUGGUGGACACCCGCAAGGGCAGGUAGGCGGCACGGCAGGUCGGCACAGCAAUGCCGACGCGGUCUUCUCCCCUCAAGCGCCCAUCCCCUUCGGUGGCCGUCUUCUCGCCGUUACAAGUUCAGUUAGGAAACUCCUUGAUCAGAGAACUAAAAUACACAUGCUCAUGGAGAUGUCGGAGAGUUCCUUGAGCAAAUUAGACACCAUGCGGAUCACCUUUCUUACCCUCCAAGACUCACCGGACGUUCUGGCUGGCGUCGCCAACCGGAAAAUCAUCGAUGGCCUUGGAGGAUUGUUUGAGGUGGAACUGCUGCAAAUUUUCAAGAAUCCUGUUUCUUGGAAAUCAAACAGUCUACUUCCUUGUGAUAUUUAUACUUCAAGUGAUGAUGACCUGCUUUUAUACAAGAGCUACCUUCAGAAGUUUUAUGAAGCCAACAAACAUUCUGUUGCUUCUGCAGCUGAUGCUGUUAUGAAGUGUUUGGAAAAGGAGAACAGUUUGAGGGAGCUGUGGAUGUCUUCAAAGGUUAAAGUCAUCGCUUGUGAUGCCUCUCUGAGCGAUGAAAUCCUUGAGUGCAUGUCACAGCUUGUGGGUAACAAAGAACGUCUAUCAUUAUGUCCCUUUAUCGCUGAUGCUGCUGCAUGUAUUGAAGGGGAGGCUGAGCUGAUGAUCAACUGGCUGACAUGGCGUGAUCCCCCUUCUAAGGAAUUUGUCCUGAGCCGAUCUAUUCGACGGUGUGCCUUGGAACUUGCAAAAAUUGAAGGUCUUGAAUGGUCUUCUGACACUGCUGCUUUCCUCCUGGGAAUAAAAAAGGAGGCCCGGUGGUUGUGUGAGAAUAUGAUGUGUGAUGGUUUUGACUCUGGUUUCUCCACAAUGAUUCGUGGGUGUGCAUUUGAGUUGUUGUCCUGGAAACAAGAUGAAUAUACAUCUGAUGGGGACGUUGAUGUUGCAGUUGAUAUGGACAUUCCGAUACUUGCUGAUCACAAAGCUGGGUGAAGGUAAAAAAUUUUGGAAGAAAAUGUUGUGUGGCAUUGAUUAGAUAACAUUUGUACGCACCAUAGGGUUUCAUUAAGUGGCCCUGUGCCGGCCGGCUGCCAACGGUCGCACGGCACGGACAGCGACUCAGCAGGGAGGUGGAGCCGCGUGGCGGGUUGGAGCUCCAGAGGCCGAGCACUGGAGCCAUGGAGCCUCGUGCUGCCCCCCGGCCACCUGAUCUUGCCGAGAGCAGGCAGCGCCGCCGCACCGCUACAGGGACAGGGCGAAGAACGAGCAGAGCAGAGCAGAGUGUUAGAAGUGAAAUGUAAAUGAACAAGUGAUUUGGGAACUGAAAUGUAAAUGAACAAGUGAUUUGGGAACAACUGUCAUCUGUUAUUGAUCUCAUGAGUUUUAUACAA